UGAUACUAAGCCAUGCGAGUCUUUGCAGUAAUGCAAGGCAUACGGCUCAGUAACACGUAGUCAACUUACCCUAUGGACGAGGAUAAUCUCGGGAAACUGAGCAUAAUACUCGAUAGAUCAUAAUGCCUGGAAUGGUUUAUGGUUGAAAUGAUUCGUCGCCAUAGGAUGGGACUGCGGCCUAUCAGCUUGUUGGUGAGGUAAUGGCCCACCAAGGCGAUUACAGGUACGGGCUCUGUGAGGAGAAGCCCGGAGAUGGGUACUGAGACAAGGACCCAGGCCCUAUGGGGCGCAGCAGGCGAGAAAACUUUGCAAUGUGCGAAAGCACGACAAGGUUAAUCCGAGUGAUUUCUGCUAAAGAAAUCUUUUGCAAGUCAUAAAACCACUAGUGAAUAAGGGGUGGGCAAGUUCUGGUGUCAGCCGCCGCGGUAAAACCAGCACCUCAAGUGGUCAGGAGGAUUAUUGGGCCUAAAGCAUCCGUAGCCGGCUCUGUAAGUUUUCGGUUAAAUCCAUGUGCUCAACGCAUGGGCUGCCGAAAAUACUGCAUAGCUAGGGAGUGGGAGAGGUAGACGGUACUCGGUAGGAAGGGGUAAAAUCCUUUGAUCUAUCGAUGACCACCUGUGGCGAAGGCGGUCUACCAGAACACGUUCGACGGUGAGGGAUGAAAGCUGGGGGAGCAAACCGGAUUAGAUACCCGGGCAGUCCCAGCUGUAAACGAUGCAGACUCGAUGAUGCAUUGGCAUAUAGCCAGUGCAGUGUCGCAGGGAAGC
Molecule: ribosomal RNA, 767 nt
Filed under: uncultured archaeon
Lineage: Archaea
Description: bacterial SSU rRNA
Rfam family: Archaeal small subunit ribosomal RNA
Source: RNAcentral